This 481-nucleotide ribosomal RNA is filed under the name uncultured bacterium. RNAcentral's name for it is "partial 16S ribosomal RNA". It matches the Rfam family "Bacterial small subunit ribosomal RNA", at positions 28 to 507 of the family's 1533-position model. The record is from RNAcentral.
GAUGAACGCUGGCGGCGUGCCUAACACAUGCAAGUCGAGCGAAGCACUUACUUUAGAUUUCUUCGGAAUGACGAAGUUUGUGACUGAGCGGCGGACGGGUGAGUAACGCGUGGGCAACCUGCCCUGUACAGGGGGAUAACAGUUAGAAAUGACUGCUAAUACCGCAUAAGCCCACAGCUUCGCAUGAAGCAGUGGGAAAAACUCCGGUGGUACAGGAUGGGCCCGCGUCUGAUUAGCUAGUUGGUAAGGUAACGGCUUACCAAGGCGAUGAUCAGUAGCCGACCUGAGAGGGUGACCGGCCACAUUGGGACUGAGACACGGCCCAAACUCCUACGGGAGGCAGCAGUGGGGAAUAUUGCACAAUGGGGGAAACCCUGAUGCAGCGACGCCGCGUGAGCGAUGAAGUAUUUCGGUAUGUAAAGCUCUAUCAGCAGGGAAGAAAGUGACGGUACCUGACUAAGAAGCCCCGGCUAACUACGUG